AUUAUCCUAAUAUAUAUAGUAUAUUUGACUUCCAAUCAAAAAGUUUGUAUAAUACAAGGUUAAUA
This 65-nucleotide transfer RNA is filed under the name Catara rugosicollis. RNAcentral describes it as "tRNA-Gly". Lineage: Eukaryota; Metazoa; Arthropoda; Insecta; Blattodea; Blattidae. The record is from RNAcentral.